CCUACGGGGGGCUGCAGCUAAGAAUCUUCCGCAAUGGGCGCAAGCCUGACGGAGCGACGCCGCGUGAACGAAGAAGGUCGUGAGAUUGUAAAGUUCUUUUCGGGAGGAGGAAUAAUGCUGACAGGGAAUGGUUGGCAGAUGACGUGAAUCCCGGAAUAAGCCCCGGCUAACUACGUGCCAGCAGCCGCGGUAACACGUAGGGGGCGAGCGUUAUUCGGAAUCAUUGGGCGUAAAGGGCGUGCAGGCGGCCGCCCCAGUCUGGCGUGAAAGACCUAGGCUCAACCUAGGGGGUGCGCCGGAAACUGGGUGGCUUGAGUACAGGAGAGGAUGGCGGAAUUCCAGGUGUAGGGGUGAAAUCUGUAGAUAUCUGGAGGAACACCGAUGGCGAAGGCAGCCAUCUGGCCAUGUACUGACGCUGAGGCGCGAAGGUGCGGGGAGCAAACAGGCUUAGAUACCCCGGUAGUC
This 465-nucleotide ribosomal RNA is filed under the name uncultured bacterium. RNAcentral's name for it is "bacterial SSU rRNA". It matches the Rfam family "Bacterial small subunit ribosomal RNA", at positions 338 to 795 of the family's 1533-position model. The record is from RNAcentral.